This is a non-coding RNA of Podarcis lilfordi (Lilford's wall lizard), 73 nucleotides long. The record is from the annotation of a GenBank genome assembly. Lineage: Eukaryota; Metazoa; Chordata; Lepidosauria; Squamata; Lacertidae.
GCUGAGACAGCUCAGUUGGUAGAACAUGAGACACUUGAUUUCAAGAUCAUGGGUUUGAGCCCCACAUUGGGCA